GACAGAAGACUUUGGGUCUCAUGUUUGUACCGUGAGCAAGAGACAUGAGUUCUCUGACUGUAACAUUGAGCUAGCCAUGAAAACAGAUCCGAUCACUUCCUUUCCUACAAACAGGUGGGAUCGAACAGUGCUUCCUGAACGUCAUCUUGUUGUCCUUGCCUGCUCAGUGUUUGUCAGCACCUGGGGCUUAUGGUAGAAAUAAUAAAAUAUCUAUGAAUCUAGAAAUAUGUUAUUGAACAUAACAGAUUGAUAUGUCAUGUUUCAUAAAAAUGUUAUAUUUUAAAAUGGCAAAGAAUACAAGCUUUCUACAUGUAUGCAACAGACUCAUGGGUCUAAUACUUGUGUGAAUAAAACCUAACAGAUGAGUUAGUAUUAGCACUACAAUCAUGUUGUCUGGAUUCCUCAGAAUUCUUGCCCCUGUUUGGUUUUUGCUAAGUUCAUACAUACAAUAGUUUUACAGUGUACAUUAAUAAUAGGGAUAUUUUCCUCACAAAGAUAGUAAUAACAUAAAAUAGGGCUCCUGGGUUACUUUUAGGUGUAGGCAUUCCUGGUUAGAUUAGGGUUUAGGUGUUAUGGUUAGGUUAAAUGUAGGCACAUUAGUCAGGUUAUUC
Molecule: long non-coding RNA, 611 nt
Organism: Esox lucius (northern pike)
Lineage: Eukaryota; Metazoa; Chordata; Actinopteri; Esociformes; Esocidae
Exons: 3
Source: RefSeq, a predicted model, not a curated record